UGGGGAAUAUUGGACAAUGGGCGAAAGCCUGAUCCAGCCAUGCCGCGUGUGUGAAGAAGGUCUUCGGAUUGUAAAGCACUUUAAGUUGGGAGGAAGGGCAGUAAGUUAAUACCUUGCUGUUUUGACGUUACCAACAGAAUAAGCACCGGCUAACUUCGUGCCAGCAGCCGCGGUAAUACGAAGGGUGCAAGCGUUAAUCGGAAUUACUGGGCGUAAAGCGCGCGUAGGUGGUUCAGCAAGUUGGAUGUGAAAUCCCCGGGCUCAACCUGGGAACUGCAUCCAAAACUACUGAGCUAGAGUACGGUAGAGGGUGGUGGAAUUUCCUGUGUAGCGGUGAAAUGCGUAGAGAUGUGGAGGAAUACCGAAGGCGAAGGCAGCCCCUUGGGAAUGUACUGACGCUCAUGUGCGAAAGCGUGGGGAGCAAACAGGAUUAGAUACCCUGGUAGUCCACGCUGUAAACGCUGUCGAUUUGGGGAUUGGGCCUUGAGCUUGGUGCCCGAAGCUAACGUGAUAAAUCGACCGCCUGGGGAGUACGGCCGCAAGGUUUA
Molecule: ribosomal RNA, 548 nt
Filed under: uncultured bacterium
Lineage: Bacteria
Description: bacterial SSU rRNA
Rfam family: Bacterial small subunit ribosomal RNA
Source: RNAcentral